This 778-nucleotide ribosomal RNA is filed under the name uncultured marine bacterium. RNAcentral's name for it is "bacterial SSU rRNA". It matches the Rfam family "Bacterial small subunit ribosomal RNA", at positions 14 to 794 of the family's 1533-position model. The record is from RNAcentral.
UGAUCCUGGCUCAGGGUGAACGCUAGCGGUGCGCCUAACACAUGCAAGUCGAACGCGCUGUCCCAUGAACCUUUGAAGAGCUUGCUCGGAUUUGAUGAUUGGAUUUUGCAGCGAGUGGCGAACGGGUGAGUAACACGUUGGCAUCUGCCCCCAAGUCAGGGAUAGCCCAGGGAAACCUGGAUUAAUACCGGAUGUGCUCUUCGGAGUAAAGAUUUAUCGCUUGGGGAGGAGCCUGCGUACUAUCAGCUUGUUGGUAAGGUAACGGCUUACCAAGGCUAUGACGGUUAGCUGGUCUGAGAGGAUGACCAGCCACAAUGAAACUGAGACACGGUUCAUACUCCUACGGGAGGCAGCAGUGAGGAAUCUUCCACAAUGGACGAAAGUCUGAUGGAGCGACACCGCGUGAAGGAUGACGGUCUAACGAUUGUAAACUUCUUUUCUGAGGGAGCAUAAUGAGAGUACCUCAGGAAUAAGGGACGGCUAAUUACGUGCCAGCAGCCGCGGUAAUACGUAAGUCCCAAGCGUUACCCGGAAUUAUUGGGUGUAAAGGGUCCGUAGGCGGAUUUUUAAGUCAGGUAUGAAAGACCGAGGCUCAACCUCGUGUUUGUACUCGAAACUGAAAAUCUUGAAUCAGGGAGAGGUAAGCGGAAUUCUCAGUGUAGGGGUGCAAUCCGUAGAUACUGAGAGGAACACCAAAAGCGAAGGCAGCUUACUGGAACUGUAUUGACGCUGAGGGACGAAAGCGUGGGGAGCAAAGAGGAUUAGAUACCCUCGUAGU